Aedes aegypti (yellow fever mosquito) is the source of this 1371-nucleotide RNA transcript. RefSeq lists it as uncharacterized. The record is from RefSeq and is a predicted model, not a curated record. NCBI's taxonomy places the organism in Eukaryota, Metazoa, Arthropoda, Insecta, Diptera, Culicidae. The transcript has 3 exons.
GCUUACUCUCAGUUGUAUUUCACAUUCGCAGUCGUUCGCACGUGCUUCCCCUAGCUCUCCGACAAUGUGACCGGUGAAUGGUUCGAUAUAGUGCCUACAUAUAAGAAUUCUCAACUCACCGUCCUAAUGUUACGUCGUAAGGAAAAAAAGAAACGAAACUUCGCGUAGAUCUGCAACGGGCGAAUCGCUUUUUCGUGGUGACGUAGUUGUGCUACAGUUUCGUGAUUUGAUGUCUAUAAAUAAAUCUCACCAGCAAUGCAUCGUUUUUUGCCAUCAUUUGAUUACAAACAUACCAUGUUGCGGGUAGAAGAAAGGAAAACUCGCUCUACCUAGUGGAUAAACCGUCGGAAAUGUGGAUCGAUAUUAUACUGACUACGUUUUGGAUCGACUUGCUAAUGGAUACGUGAUAAUUUCCUUGCUCAACCAAGCGUUCUGAAUUGCAGUGAAUAAUUGUAUAAGUCACAUUGUUACAAGACUCAAGUGCUAAUCAGUAUCAUAUUAAGCGAUAAGAGCGCACCAUCAAAGGUACACAUAGGAGGUGUAUUAUUUUAUACAGCCCAGACAGUGACGAAGAAUCGGGAAAACAUUCGUUCAACGCCUAGUGGCAAUCAGAAGUCAUCAGUACAUCUCCUCAUCACAUAGUGUGCAUCAUCAAAUGGCACGUUGGUAGCGUCGAGCUAUAGCGCAAACACGUCUUACAUCUGGCAGAUAAAAAAAAAUAAACCGACCAUCACAUAACGUUGGGCUUUACGGAACCUAUUUCCUUCUAGGCGGUAAUAUUAAGCCUCCGUUACUGCUGCAGAAAGCGAAAACUGCGUAAAUUGUAUCCCAUCGCAGAGGAAUUCCAUCGUAACUAGUCUACAGACCCCAUCUCAGAAAACCGCGCGCCGAAAACAAUGAAUGAGGUAGUCGAAUGCAUCAAAUGUAUUUGCGGUUGCAACGAACUAUCGAGGGAUCGCAUCAAAGAGAUACUGUGUAAAAAGAUCCACGGCUUUUUGAGUGACGAAGCUGCGCUCGUUAUGUUUAAAAAGUUCAUUCCAGCAAACUCUUCAACGCACACGCACAUCGAAAUUAUCCAAAGAGCGAAACAGUACCUAGAAAUGGAUAUCGACACCGAAGAACUGGAAGAAUUUGCAGAGGAUCUGGAAGAGCACUUAGAAGAUCAACUGAAGACAAAUUCCGAUACCAAGAAAGCAUUGGAAUUAGUCAUAUUCGAAUACAGUAAAAAAAUAGAAUCAUCAAAAGAUUAUGAAAAUUUCACAGCAAAUUUGCGGGAGAAAUAUAAAAGUAGAUUUAGGAGAACAUCUUGAUUUAGCAUUAAAGUAUGUAGCUUUAUUUAUUCUGAAUUACACGUAAAACGUUAAAAAGCCA